This is a long non-coding RNA of Camellia sinensis, 1188 nucleotides long. RefSeq lists it as uncharacterized. Lineage: Eukaryota; Viridiplantae; Streptophyta; Magnoliopsida; Ericales; Theaceae. The record is from RefSeq and is a predicted model, not a curated record.
AUCUAUGCACUUAUAUCUAAGAGGGAGUUAGUAAUUGCUCUAGUAAAUAUGGCUCUCUUUUUGCUUUCCGUUUUUGUCCUCCUUUAUUCUGUUAAGAUUUUGUUUUAUUGAAGAGUUUUGGAUUAAUUGGUAAAUGCACAGAUUACUCACUCUCUGUGUAGGAGAACUAACACGUUUCCCUCUUGCCAGCCACGUCUACCUCUUCUCUCUCUCUCUCUCUCUCUCUCUCUCUCUCUCUCUCUCUCUCGAAAAUGACAGUGAGAUCACAUUAUGGACAACGAUCAAUGUCUCAUGAUGACGAUCGAAGCUGUGUUGGACCAGAUCUAUGGGUUUAACUAUGCGUUCAACCAAUUUCAAAUGGGGUAUCAAAGAGCCACUACUUUCAAGCCAUUGUUCCUACAGUGAAGGCCAUCAUCUUCAACCAAAGCUCUUGUUUGGGGGUCAAUCUUCAAAGCUGAAACAUAGCUAGAAUAGCUGACAAUCUUAUUAUUUUUUAAAUGAUUUACAAAGAUUUUGAGCUUGUCAUUUCAUAUGGAUAAUUACUGGUUUCAUCAUUAUGGGAUUUUUUUGGCCUUUUUCAAGUAGUGAUUGAAGUGCUCACCUUCUCUCUCAUUGUUAUGGUCAAAAGGGCUACUUUUAAAUAGUAGCCUGAUUCCUUUUUAUAUUACAUUUAAAUCUAGGUUCAAGAUAGAUUCUUGUUUUUUUUUUUUUUUUUUUUUUUGUCCCCAAUAGAUCUGUUAGGAGGUGUUGGCAUCUAACACCUUGUAUCAAAAUACCUCUGUUGCUAGAAGUUCGAUAACUUUAUUUAAUUGUUCUUUUUCUAACAGUUAGAACAUAUGUUAGUUUGCAACACAUAGAUACCUAAAAGCAAAAAUAUCCCUUCUUUAGUAGAAGGAUAAUGAGAUUCUUCAUUACUCACUCACUUGUGAUGAUAAACUGUUAUUUUUUUUAGUCAUAGUUUCCAUUGUGUUCAACCUUUGAUAAAAGGUAUCUUUAGAAUCCUCCAGUAUAUCUUUGGGCUUUCUGCCUUGUGUUGAACUCCCUCAAAAAGCUGCUAAAAAGGGAAAAGGACCCAUCAUGUUUGCAUCUUAUCCAAUCUAAGACAUGUAGGGUGUGUUUGGUUUGUGUUUUGAGAUAAAUUUUUUAUAAGAAAAAUUGGAGAGAGAGUUUAGAAAUUUUUUUGGUUUA